ACUCAAAUGAAUUGACGGGGGCCCGCACAAGCGGUGGAGCAUGUGGUUCAAUUCGACGCAACGCGAAGAACCUUACCUGGGCUCGAACGGCUCCCUAACGAUCGUGGAAACACGGUUACCCCGCAAGGGGGUGGAGUCGAGGUGCUGCAUGGCUGUCGUCAGCUCGUGUCGUGAGAUGUUGGGUUAAGUCCCGCAACGAGCGCAACCCUCGCCCUUAGUUGCUAUCCCGCAAGGGAGCACUCUAGGGGGACUGCCACGGAUAACGUGGAGGAAGGUGAGGAUGACGUCAAGUCCUCAUGGCCUUUAUGUCCAGGGCUACACACGUGCUACAAUGGUCGGUACAAUCCGUCGCCAACCCGCGAGGGGGAGCCAAUCGGAAAAAGCCGGCCUCAGUUCGGAUUGCAGUCUGCAACUCGGCUGCAUGAAGCUGGAAUCGCUAGUAAUGGCAGAUCAGCAUGCUGCCGUGAAUACGUUCCCGGGCCUUGCACACACCGCCCGU
Molecule: ribosomal RNA, 499 nt
Filed under: uncultured bacterium
Lineage: Bacteria
Description: partial 16S ribosomal RNA
Rfam family: Bacterial small subunit ribosomal RNA
Source: RNAcentral